This 524-nucleotide ribosomal RNA is filed under the name uncultured bacterium. RNAcentral's name for it is "bacterial SSU rRNA". It matches the Rfam family "Bacterial small subunit ribosomal RNA", at positions 355 to 896 of the family's 1533-position model. The record is from RNAcentral.
UGGGGGAUAUUGCACAAUGGAGGGAACUCUGAUGCAGCGACGCCGCGUGAGUGAAGAAGUAUUUCGGUAUGUAAAGCUCUAUCAGCAGGGAAGAUGAUGACGGUACCUGACUAAGAAGCCCCGGCUAACUACGUGCCAGCAGCCGCGGUAAUACGUAGGGGGCAAGCGUUAUCCGGAUUUACUGGGUGUAAAGGGAGCGUAGACGGAAUGGCAAGUCUGAAGUGAAAACCCCGGGCUCAACCUGGGGACUGCUUUGGAAACUGUUGUUCUAGAGUGUUGGAGAGGUAAGUGGAAUUCCUGGUGUAGCGGUGAAAUGCGUAGAUAUCAGGAAGAACACCGGAGGCGAAGGCGGCUUACUGGACAAUAACUGACGUUGAGGCUCGAAAGCGUGGGGAUCAAACAGGAUUAGAUACCCUGGUAGUCCACGCUGUAAACGAUGAAUACUAGGUGUCGGGGAGCAAAGCUUCUCGGUGCCGUCGCUAACGCAAUAAGUAUUCCACCUGGGGAGUACGUUCGCAAGAAUG